RNAcentral lists this ribosomal RNA (115 nucleotides) under Staphylococcus warneri. Lineage: Bacteria; Bacillati; Bacillota; Bacilli; Caryophanales; Staphylococcaceae. The record is from RNAcentral.
UCUGGUGGCAAUAGCAAAGAGGUCACACCUGUUCCCAUGCCGAACACAGAAGUCAAGCUCUUUAGCGCCGAUGGUAGUCGGACUAACGUUCCGCUAGAGUAGGACGUUGCCAGGC